UACAGAGGGUGCGAGCGUUAAUCGGAAUUACUGGGCGUAAAGCGUGCGUAGACGGUAGCGUAAGUCCGACGUGAAAUCCCCAGGCUUAACUUGGGAACUGCGUCGGAUACUGGUGGGCUUGAAUCCGGGAGAGGGAUGCGGAAUUCCAGGUGUAGCGGUGAAAUGCGUAGAUAUCUGGAGGAACACCGGUGGCGAAGGCGGCAUCCUGGACCGGCAUUGACGCUGAGUGAGCGAAAGCCAGGGGAGCAAACGGG
Molecule: ribosomal RNA, 254 nt
Filed under: uncultured bacterium
Lineage: Bacteria
Description: partial 16S ribosomal RNA
Rfam family: Bacterial small subunit ribosomal RNA
Source: RNAcentral